RNAcentral lists this ribosomal RNA (231 nucleotides) under uncultured Alicycliphilus sp. RNAcentral describes it as "partial 16S ribosomal RNA". It matches the Rfam family "Bacterial small subunit ribosomal RNA", at positions 550 to 774 of the family's 1533-position model. The record is from RNAcentral. Lineage: Bacteria; Pseudomonadati; Pseudomonadota; Betaproteobacteria; Burkholderiales; Comamonadaceae.
AGCUGAUCACUGGGUGUAAAGCGUGCGCAGGCGGUUUUGUAAGACAGAGGUGAAAUCCCCGGGCUCAACCUGGGAACUGCCUUUGUGACUGCAAGGCUGGAGUGCGGCAGAGGGGGAUGGAAUUCCGCGUGUAGCAGUGAAAUGCGUAGAUAUGCGGAGGAACACCGAUGGCGAAGGCAAUCCCCCUGGGCCUGCACUGACGCUCAUGCACGAAAGCGUGGGGAGCAAACA